AGAGCUUGAUCCUGGCUCAGGACGAACGCUGGCGGCACGCUUAACACAUGCAAGUCGAACGAGAGAAGAGGAGCUUGCUUUUCUGAUCUAGUGGCGGACGGGUGAGUAACACGUGAGCAAUCUGCCUUUCAGAGGGGGAUACCGAUUGGAAACGAUCGUUAAUACCGCAUAACAUAAUUGAACCGCAUGAUUUGAUUAUCAAAGAUUUAUCGCUGAAAGAUGAGCUCGCGUCUGAUUAGCUAGUUGGUAAGGUAACGGCUUACCAAGGCGACGAUCAGUAGCCGGACUGAGAGGUUGAUCGGCCACAUUGGGACUGAGACACGGCCCAGACUCCUACGGGAGGCAGCAGUGGGGAAUAUUGCACAAUGGAGGAAACUCUGAUGCAGCGAUGCCGCGUGAGGGAAGAAGGUUUUAGGAUUGUAAACCUCUGUCUUCAGGGACGAAAAAAGACGGUACCUGAGGAGGAAGCUCCGGCUAACUACGUGCCAGCAGCCGCGGUAAUACGUAGGGAGCGAGCGUUGUCCGGAAUUACUGGGUGUAAAGGGAGCGUAGGCGGGAUCGCAAGUCAGAUGUGAAAACUAUGGGCUUAACCCAUAAACUGCAUUUGAAACUGUGGUUCUUGAGUGAAGUAGAGGUAAGCGGAAUUCCUAGUGUAGCGGUGAAAUGCGUAGAUAUUAGGAGGAACAUCAGUGGCGAAGGCGGCUUACUGGGCUUUAACUGACGCUGAGGCUCGAAAGCGUGGGGAGCAAACAGGAUUAGAUACCCUGGUAGUCCACGCCGUAAACGAUGAUUACUAGGUGUGGGGGGACUGACCCCUUCCGUGCCGCAGCAAACGCAAUAAGUAAUCCACCUGGGGAGUACGACCGCAAGGUUGAAACUCAAAGGAAUUGACGGGGGCCCGCACAAGCAGUGGAGUAUGUGGAUUAAUUCGAAGCAACGCGAAGAACCUUACCAGGUCUUGACAUCGUAUGCAUAGCUCAGAGAUGAGUGAAAUCUCUUCGGAGACAUAUAGACAGGUGGUGCAUGGUUGUCGUCAGCUCGUGUCGUGAGAUGUUGGGUUAAGUCCCGCAACGAGCGCAACCCUUACUGUUAGUUGCUACGCAAGAGCACUCUAGCAGGACUGCCGUUGACAAAACGGAGGAAGGUGGGGAUGACGUCAAAUCAUCAUGCCCCUUAUGACCUGGGCCUCACACGUACUACAAUGGCUGUCAACAGAGGGAAGCAAAGCCGCGAGGUGGAGCGAACCCCUAAAAGCAGUCUUAGUUCGGAUUGUAGGCUGCAACCCGCCUACAUGAAGUCGGAAUUGCUAGUAAUCGCAGAUCAGCAUGCUGCGGUGAAUACGUUCCCGGGCCUUGUACACACCGCCCGUCACGCCAUGGGAGUCGGUAACACCCGAAGCCUGUAGUCUAACCGCAAGGAGGACGCAGUCGAAGGUGGGAUUGAUGACUGGGGUGAAGUCGUAACAAGGUA
This 1470-nucleotide ribosomal RNA is filed under the name metagenome. Its description in RNAcentral is "bacterial SSU rRNA". It matches the Rfam family "Bacterial small subunit ribosomal RNA". The record is from RNAcentral.